Molecule: non-coding RNA, 229 nt
Organism: Paralichthys olivaceus (Japanese flounder)
Lineage: Eukaryota; Metazoa; Chordata; Actinopteri; Pleuronectiformes; Paralichthyidae
Source: RefSeq, a predicted model, not a curated record
AGAAGAUUUUUCAGGAGGACGACGGGCUGCCGGUUCAUUUAAAAGGAGGCAUGAGUGACGCUCUGCUGUACAGAGCAACCAUGACACUCAGUGUGUUGGGAACUGGAUUUGUUCUGUAUGAACUGUGGAAGGCAGCGGUCCCUCAGAAGAAAUAGUGACUCCACUGUUCCAGCUGUUUGUUUCCGGCCUGCCGCUCUAUAUUAUAUUUAAAAAUGUAAAAACACAAAAA